ACGGAAGGCAGCAGUGGGGAAUAUUGCACAAUGGGGGAAACCCUGAUGCAGCGACGCCGCGUGAGUGAAGAAGUUAUUCGUAAUGUAAAGCUCUAUCAGCAGGGAAGAAAAUGACGGUACCUGACUAAGAAGCCCCGGCUAACUACGUGCCAGCAGCCGCGGUAAUACGUAGGGGGCAAGCGUUAUCCGGAUUUACUGGGUGUAAAGGGAGCGUAGACGGCUUAGCAAGUCUGAUGUGAAAGGCAGGGGCUCAGCUCCUGGACUGCAUUGGAAACUGUUAAGCUGGAGUGCCGGAGAGGUAAGCGGAAUUCCUAGUGUAGCGGUGAAAUGCGUAGAUAUUAGGAGGAACACCAGUGGCGAAGGCGGCUUACUGGACGGUAACUGACGUUGAGGCUCGAAAGCGUGGGGAGCAAACAGGAUUAGAUACCCUGGUA
Molecule: ribosomal RNA, 434 nt
Filed under: uncultured Lachnospiraceae bacterium
Lineage: Bacteria; Bacillati; Bacillota; Clostridia; Lachnospirales; Lachnospiraceae
Description: bacterial SSU rRNA
Rfam family: Bacterial small subunit ribosomal RNA
Source: RNAcentral